This 201-nucleotide ribosomal RNA is filed under the name Neonectria neomacrospora. Its description in RNAcentral is "partial 18S ribosomal RNA". It matches the Rfam family "Eukaryotic small subunit ribosomal RNA", at positions 1591 to 1789 of the family's 1831-position model. The record is from RNAcentral. Lineage: Eukaryota; Fungi; Ascomycota; Sordariomycetes; Hypocreales; Nectriaceae.
UAUUGCUCUUCAACGAGGAAUCCCUAGUAAGCGCAAGUCAUCAGCUUGCGUUGAUUACGUCCCUGCCCUUUGUACACACCGCCCGUCGCUACUACCGAUUGAAUGGCUCAGUGAGGCGUCCGGACUGGCCCAGAGAGGUGGGCAACUACCCCUCAGGGCCGGAAAGCUCUCCAAACUCGGUCAUUUAGAGGAAGUAAAAGU